Camellia sinensis is the source of this 265-nucleotide non-coding RNA. NCBI's taxonomy places the organism in Eukaryota, Viridiplantae, Streptophyta, Magnoliopsida, Ericales, Theaceae. The record is from RefSeq and is a predicted model, not a curated record.
UGAAGACUCAUUACUCGAAGUUGGUAGACACUGGUGUUGACCCUCAUAGUAAACCAUACAAAGGGGUCGAUUAUGAGGCUUGGGUAUACAUGAUCGAUCAUGUAUGGCUUGAUGGCGAUUAUCAGAACUUGGCUAAAAAAACAAGGGAUAGUCGAGCGAGGUUACCAUAUAAUCAUACAAUGGGCUCCAAGUCAUUUCAAGCUGCAAUGUAUAAACAGGGUACCGAGAAGACUGACUUUGUAGACUUCUACAAAGAUUCCCAUUG